CAGUCGCCGCGGUAAUACGUAGGUGGCAAGCGUUGUCCGGAAUUAUUGGGCGUAAAGGGCUCGCAGGCGGUUUCUUAAGUCUGAUGUGAAAGCCCCCGGCUCAACCGGGGAGGGUCAUUGGAAACUGGGAAACUUGAGUGCAGAAGAGGAGAGUGGAAUUCCACGUGUAGCGGUGAAAUGCGUAGAGAUGUGGAGGAACACCAGUGGCGAAGGCGACUCUCUGGUCUGUAACUGACGCCGAGGAGCGAAAGCGUGGGGAGCGAACAGGAUUAGAUACCCCAGUAGUCCCUGUCUCUUAUAA
Molecule: ribosomal RNA, 301 nt
Filed under: uncultured bacterium
Lineage: Bacteria
Description: partial 16S ribosomal RNA
Rfam family: Bacterial small subunit ribosomal RNA
Source: RNAcentral